Molecule: ribosomal RNA, 287 nt
Filed under: Pseudomonas sp. July_NA3A6
Lineage: Bacteria; Pseudomonadati; Pseudomonadota; Gammaproteobacteria; Pseudomonadales; Pseudomonadaceae
Description: partial 16S ribosomal RNA
Rfam family: Bacterial small subunit ribosomal RNA
Source: RNAcentral
CCCGUAACGAGCGCAACCCUUGUCCUUAGUUACCAGCACGUAAUGGUGGGCACUCUAAGGAGACUGCCGGUGACAAACCGGAGGAAGGUGGGGAUGACGUCAAGUCAUCAUGGCCCUUACGGCCUGGGCUACACACGUGCUACAAUGGUCGGUACAGAGGGUUGCCAAGCCGCGAGGUGGAGCUAAUCCCAUAAAACCGAUCGUAGUCCGGAUCGCAGUCUGCAACUCGACUGCGUGAAGUCGGAAUCGCUAGUAAUCGCGAAUCAGAAUGUCGCGGUGAAUACGUU